This 511-nucleotide ribosomal RNA is filed under the name uncultured fungus. RNAcentral describes it as "eukaryotic LSU rRNA". The stretch from base 149 to 302 matches the Rfam family "5.8S ribosomal RNA". The record is from RNAcentral. Lineage: Eukaryota; Fungi.
CGGAGUUUACAACUCCCAAACCCCUGUGAACAUACCUAUACGUUGCCUCGGCGGAUCAGCCCGCGCCCCGUAAAACGGGACGGCCCGCCCGAGGACCCUAAACUCUGUUUUUAGUGGAACUUCUGAGUAAAACAAACAAAUAAAUCAAAACUUUCAACAACGGAUCUCUUGGUUCUGGCAUCGAUGAAGAACGCAGCAAAAUGCGAUAAGUAAUGUGAAUUGCAGAAUUCAGUGAAUCAUCGAAUCUUUGAACGCACAUUGCGCCCGCCAGUAUUCUGGCGGGCAUGCCUGUUCGAGCGUCAUUUCAACCCUCAAGCUCAGCUUGGUGUUGGGACUCGCGGUAACCCGCGUUCCCCAAAUCGAUUGGCGGUCACGUCAAGCUUCCAUAGCGUAGUAAUCAUACACCUCGUUACUGGUAAUCGUCGCGGCCACGCCGUUAAACCCCAACUUCUGAAUGUUGACCUCGGAUCAGGUAGGAAUACCCGCUGAACUUAAGCAUAUCAAUAAGCGG